CAUCAAAGUAUCUAAUUUGGUGCCGUUUGUCAUUUUUUUAUUAACUUAAAAACUAAGAAUAAAAACGUCUUUUACACUUUUAGAUGUUUUAAAGAUAAUUGAUUAAAGGCAUAAAAGACAAACAGAAGCUUCAUGAUUUUUAAAGAGAAAAAUAGUAGAGGCAAAACGGUUGAAUUGAGAAGUUUGUGGGUCCAGAAGCUUCAUACCCUGAAAAUUGAAAGAGAGAAAAGGGAAGGAGAAAGAGAAAGAGAAGAGGGGUAGCGACAACUGGAUCAACUUAUCGCAUCUCCUUCAUGCUACCUGUAGAGGUUAAAAUUUUAAUCUCUCCUCUUCUCUCUUUUUUUCCCCUAAAUCUCUGUUUGGUUGGGUUUUUUUUUUAAGAAGAGGGAUAAACGUCUUCCAGAAAGCUGCCCUCUGGUGAUCUUUUAAUUAAGUUUUGGUGGUUCAAGUGAUUUCCAUAUGAUUAUGAGAUUAAUCAAUUCUUUGGUUAUUGACUGUUUUGGUUGAAUAUCUUUGGAUUUUAAAUGACAGAUGGAGGAGAUUUUACUUCUUAUUAAUGCUAUUGCUCAUAUUUAUGAGCGAUUUCUACAAAUUAUAGUGGUAAUUUUGUGUUGAAUGUACAUGGGCAUUUGCUCCAAAACAAAUGUCAAUCUCUUUAUUUGAAAACAUAUAGCAAUAUGGACUAUUUUAUCUUCUAUCCACAUUUGAUUUAAGGAAUAUUAAAUUCAGGAAUGAUGAAGUUUAUGUCUUUAGUUUUGGUUAAUAUGCUGCCGUGUGUAUCUUGUCAGUCAUCACAGUGGCUUCAGGAAAUGGGUUCAUAUGUGAUAGGCAUUUAGAUUCAAUGGAACCUCACAUAAACAGCGGAUUCUUGAGUUAGAGAUAUUAGAGGUAUUGCAGCAUCUUGAUCCUUGAUUGAUGUAAGGGGCACCAUGUGACGGAAAAGAGAGAAGAACAAUCAACAACUAUGAAUGCUUUCGAGUGGGCAUAUCUUUUGGGUUUUUGGCUUCUAUUUGCAGGUUUGAUCUUUGCUUUUCUAUUCUUCCUGUUUUUUAUUGAAUUUGGUUUCUAUUUAUCCUCUCUAUUUUUAUUUUUUUUUUGUGGACUUGGUUGGGCCACAUUACAUUCUAAUAUAAGAUUGAGAGUUCUCAAAUCAAAACCAGUAAUGAAAUUCUUGGUGUCAGACUUUUAAUACGAAAUUCUUUUCAUUAACUGAUAUUUUUAUGAAGCUUUUUCCCCUUAGAUUGUGAUGACAUUUACUUUUUACGCAUUUAGAAUUAAACGUGUAAAUCUAUGAAUUAACGAUAGAUUGUGAUUGUAUAAUGAAUCACUAAAUUAUUUUUUAUUAUAUUCACUUACUUUAAUAUAUUACAUUCAUAAUAAUUUUUUUUUUGUACUUUUUUUAAACAACUCUCGCAGCAUAGCAUGGGUUAAAAUCUAGUAUCUGAUUAUGGAAACCUCGAAAUGGCUUGAAACUUGAAGCAUCUUGAUCAUUAUUGUUAUUUAUUUGUCUGUAUUUCUUGCUAACCUGUAACGUUAAUAGAGCUACAAUUAACAAGUCUAAUGCCUAUGAUUAGUUUCAGUCAAUGUCUUGGGUCCUGUUGUAAUUUGGUUUGUACUUUAAAAAGUUGUUUCAUGUGAAGCAACUGUUAUU
This is a non-coding RNA of Durio zibethinus, 1651 nucleotides long. The record is from RefSeq and is a predicted model, not a curated record. Lineage: Eukaryota; Viridiplantae; Streptophyta; Magnoliopsida; Malvales; Malvaceae.